GGAGUUAGCCGGUGCUUCUUCUGUGAGUGAUGUCCUUCCUGCCGGCUAUUAACCCGCAGGCCUUCUUCCUCACUGAAAGUGCUUUACAACCCGAAGGCCUUCUUCACACACGCGGCAUGGCUGGAUCAGGGUUGCCCCCAUUGUCCAAUAUUCCCCACUGCUGCCUCCCGUAGGAGUCUGGGCCGUGUCUCAGUCCCAGUGUGGCUGAUCAUCCUCUCAGACCAGCUACGGAUCGUCGCCUUGGUGAGCCGUUACCUCACCAACCAGCUAAUCCGACAUAGGCUCAUCCGAUAGCGCGAGGCCCGAAGGUCCCCCGCUUUCCCCCGUAGGGCGUAUGCGGUAUUAGCCUGGGUUUCCCCAGGUUAUCCCCCACUACCGGGCAGAUUCCUAUGCAUUACUCACCCGUCCGCCGCUCGCCACCAGGGAGCAAGCUCCCCGUGCUGCCGCUCGACUUGCAUGUGUUAGGCCUGCCGCCAGCGUUCAAUCUGAGCCAGAGCAACUAACUCGACUACGAGACGGGCGGUCGGCGAACGGACGGCGACUAG
RNAcentral lists this ribosomal RNA (545 nucleotides) under uncultured bacterium. Its description in RNAcentral is "partial 16S ribosomal RNA". The record is from RNAcentral.